UAUUUAUCCUAUAAAACUGCCAAAGAGGUAUGGGAUCUCGCCCAAUCUAUGUAUUCUGAUUUUGGUAACUCAUCCCAAAUGUUUAAAAUCGAUAUUAAGAGAUAUGAGGCAAGGCGAAACUACUAUAAUCGAUUACUAAAAUAUUUUGGUGGGUCUUUGGCAAGAAUUUGAUUUAUUUAAUGAUGUACGCUGGUCAUGCCCAGGAGAUGCUCUGAAGAAUACUCAGAAACUAGAAAAGGAGAGAUUGUUCGAUUUUCUUCAUGGACUGAACAAGGAAGGAUUCUUGGUAUAAAGCCACUGCUGUCAAUACAAGAUGCCUUUGCAAAGGUUCGACAUGAAGAGAGUAGAAGGAGAGUCAUGAUGAAAUCUAGUUAUGUGGAAAACUCUCUGCAGAACUCAGCACUUGCAGCAAAGCGACCCGUCUAUAACCAACAACAAAAUCAGGAGCAGCGUAGAGAAAAAAAGGAUUGGCGUGACUACUGUAAGAGAUUCUAUCAUACUAAAGAAAAUUGUUGGAAGAUAAAUGGAAAACCUACAAACUGGCAACCAAGGCAUGAACGUGAUGGCAAUGGCAGAGAAUUUCAACUUGCAGGAGAUGGUAGAGGAUUCCAAGUCAGGUAAUCAGCAAGGGAGAUCCUGUUUUAGUCCCAAACAGAUUUCAGAAUUGCAGACUUUGCUUCAAAAUCUGCAAAGUACUUCACACCAACCACAUCAGGCUCUUCAUCAGGAUGCUUCACAGCCAAGUAUUAAUGCCAAUUGCAAUAUAGCCCAGAAAGAUAGCUUCUCCACUGCUCUAAUUACGAAGACAUCAGUGAAUGAUCUAUGGAUAAUUGAUUCAGGGGCUUCAGACCAUAUGACAGGGAAUUAUGAGUUAUUUUCUGACUAUAUUUCGUGUUCUGGUUCAUUGAAAAUCAGGAUUGCUGAUAGUUCUUUAUCCUCAAUUAUAGGGAUAGGGACUAUUGUGGUCUCACCACUUAUAACUCUCAAAUCAGUUUUACAUGUUCCCAAUCUUUCAUGUCAUCUUAUUUCAAUAAUCAAACUAACUAAAGACUUGAGUUGUGAAGUUAACUUUUCUCCAUAUAUGUGUAAAUUUCAGGAUUUGUAUUCAGGGAAGAUGAUUGGCAUUGCUAAGUGAAGUAAUGAUUUGUACUAUCUUGAAGAUUCCAAGGAAGGCAAGACUGCUCAGUUUCAAGCUUAUGGAAGUAAAAGUGUUUCUAGCUCAAGUUCCGUUCCUACAUAUGUUUUGAAUAAAGUGAUGUUAUGGCAUAAAAGACUAGGGCAUCCUAACUUUAGUUAUUUGAAGAAGUUGUUUCCAACGUUAUUCAAUAAUAAAGAUGCAAGUUUGUUCAAA
RNAcentral lists this long non-coding RNA (1351 nucleotides) under Olea europaea subsp. europaea. The record is from RNAcentral. Lineage: Eukaryota; Viridiplantae; Streptophyta; Magnoliopsida; Lamiales; Oleaceae.